GCGGCAUUAGCUCAGUUGGUAGAGCAUUGGAUUGUGGCUCCAAAGGUCACCGGUUCGAGACCGGUAUGUCGCCCCA
RNAcentral lists this transfer RNA (76 nucleotides) under Parazoarcus communis. RNAcentral's name for it is "Azoarcus communis tRNA-His". It matches the Rfam family "tRNA". Rfam says of the family: Transfer RNA (tRNA) molecules are approximately 80 nucleotides in length. Their secondary structure includes four short double-helical elements and three loops (D, anti-codon, and T loops). Further hydrogen bonds mediate the characteristic L-shaped molecular structure. tRNAs have two regions of fundamental functional importance: the anti-codon, which is responsible for specific mRNA codon recognition, and the 3' end, to which the tRNAs corresponding amino acid is attached (by aminoacyl-tRNA synthetases). tRNAs cope with the degeneracy of the genetic code in two manners: having more than one tRNA (with a specific anti-codon) for a particular amino acid; and 'wobble' base-pairing, i.e. permitting non-standard base-pairing at the 3rd anti-codon position. Lineage: Bacteria; Pseudomonadati; Pseudomonadota; Betaproteobacteria; Rhodocyclales; Zoogloeaceae. The record is from RNAcentral. RNAcentral also lists the same sequence under 2 other names.